CAUUAUGGCGGGCCGUGUGGCGCGGGCCUUUCGGCUUCCGUUUUGACUUGGAAGUGUCCCGACUUCGAACGCCACUCGGUCCGCCACCCAA
Molecule: unclassified non-coding RNA, 91 nt
Filed under: Pseudomonas jessenii
Lineage: Bacteria; Pseudomonadati; Pseudomonadota; Gammaproteobacteria; Pseudomonadales; Pseudomonadaceae
Source: RNAcentral